RNAcentral lists this ribosomal RNA (1733 nucleotides) under Epistylis chrysemydis. RNAcentral describes it as "LSU rRNA". It matches the Rfam family "Eukaryotic large subunit ribosomal RNA", at positions 78 to 1818 of the family's 3401-position model. The record is from RNAcentral. Lineage: Eukaryota; Ciliophora; Oligohymenophorea; Sessilida; Epistylidae.
CCUCAGUAGCGGCGAGUGAAGAGGUAAAAGCCCAAGAUGUUAAUCUGUGUUAAAGACAUAGAAUUGUAAUCUAUGGAAUCAGUCAGAAAGCGGAAGCCUGCCAUAAGUCCCUUGGAACAGGGCGCCAGAGAGGGUGAAAGCCCCGUCUUCGGGUAGGAAGAAGCAAUAUGAAUGGUUUCUAAGAGUCGGGUAGUUUGGGAUUGCUGCCCUAAGUGGGAGAUAAACUUCUCCUAAGGCUAAAUAUUUAUAGGAGACCGAUAGCAUACAAGUACUGCGAAGGAAAGAUGAAAAGAACUUUGAAAAGAGGGUUAAAAGACUUGAAAUCGUUGAAAAGGAAGCAGUAAAAGAGAAAUUAUUUAUUGGUGAAUAAGGUUUUAGGCUAAGCUCUGUGGUGUGUAAUUCUUCAUAAGGUUGCUGCCAUUCUGCGAAAACUAACUCACUUUUUACUGGUAAUAGGCAAAAUGAGACUGAUUUAUAAAAAUAAGGUGAAGAGUGUAUUCUCUAGCUCGAAUUUAUAAGUCAAUCUGAGGGAUCUUAGGAUGAUUUUGUCAAAAUGGCUUUUACUGACCCGUCUUGAAACACGGACCAAGGAGUCUACCUAUUAUGCAAGUGUUGGGGUGGAAAAACCCGAACGCCAACCGAAAGGGAUUUAAGAUGUGAGGCGCAAGCUGCAACAUCAACCAAUCUUGAUUCUCUGAUGAAAGACUUGAGUAAGAGCAUAAUCGGUAGGACCCGAAAGAUGGUGAACUACGGUUGAGUAGGGUGAAGCCAGGGGAAACUCUGGUGGAGGCUCGAAGCGUUACUGACGUGCAAAUCGUUCGUCAAACUUGACUGUAGGGGCGAAAGACUAAUCGAACCAUCUAGUAGCUGGUUCCCUCUGAAAUUUCUCUCAGGAUAGCAGGAACAGAUAUAGCAGUUUUAUCAGGUAAAGCUAAUGAUUAGUGGAAUCGGGGGUCUCCGAUCCUUGACCAAUUCUCAAACUUUAAAUUGGUAAGAACCGAGAGUUAUCUUAAUUGAACUUUUGGGUAGAAUGCAUUGUUCUUAGUGGGCCAUUUUUGGUAAGCAGAACUGGCGAUGAGGGAUGAACCUAACGUUGAGAUAAGGUGCCAAAAUUCACGCUCAUCAGACACCAUAAAAGGCGUUGGUUAGUAUAAACAGCCGGACUGUGGCCAUGGAAGUCGGCACCAGCUAAGGAGUGUGUAACAACUCACCAGCCGAAUUAACCAGCCCUGAAAAUUGAUGGCGCUAAGCGUGAUACCGAUACUCAACCAUCAAGGCAAAUAGAAGCUUUGAUGAGUAAGAGGGCGUGAAGACUGUGUAGAAGGCUUGGAUGUGAAUCUGGCUGGAACAGUCUUUAGUGCAGAUCUUGGUGGUAGUAGCAAAUAUUCAAAUGAGAACUUUGAAGACCGAAGUGGAGAAGGGUUCCAUGAGAACAGCAUUUGAUCAUGGGUUACUCGAUCCUAAGACAUAGGGAAAUUCCUUGUAAUACAUUUACUCUUACGAGUAUGUAGUCAAAAGGGAAUGAGGUUCAUAUUCCUCAAGCUGGAUGUGGGAGCUAUGUGGUAACACAAACAAGCUCGGAGACAUCGGUAUGUGCAACUGGAAGAGUUCUCUUUUCUUCUUAACAGUCUAUCUCCCUGAAUGGAUUAUCCAGAGCUAGGGAUAUAUGGCUGGCAGAGCAGUUCUCUAUUGAAUUGUCAGUGAAGCUCAUAACGAUCCUUGAAAAUCCGAGU